Molecule: ribosomal RNA, 1342 nt
Filed under: uncultured bacterium
Lineage: Bacteria
Description: bacterial SSU rRNA
Rfam family: Bacterial small subunit ribosomal RNA
Source: RNAcentral
GAUGAACGCUGGCGGCGUGCUUAACACAUGCAAGUCGAACGGUGAAGCCAAGCUUGCUUGGUGGAUCAGUGGCGAACGGGUGAGUAACACGUGAGCAACCUGCCCUGGACUCUGGGAUAAGCGCUGGAAACGGCGUCUAAUACUGGAUAUGAGACGUGAUCGCAUGGUCGUGUUUGGAAAGAUUUUUCGGUCUGGGAUGGGCUCGCGGCCUAUCAGCUUGUUGGUGAGGUAAUGGCUCACCAAGGCGUCGACGGGUAGCCGGCCUGAGAGGGUGACCGGCCACACUGGGACUGAGACACGGCCCAGACUCCUACGGGAGGCAGCAGUGGGGAAUAUUGCACAAUGGGCGAAAGCCUGAUGCAGCAACGCCGCGUGAGGGAUGACGGCCUUCGGGUUGUAAACCUCUUUUAGCAGGGAAGAAGCGAAAGUGACGGUACCUGCAGAAAAAGCGCCGGCUAACUACGUGCCAGCAGCCGCGGUAAUACGUAGGGCGCAAGCGUUAUCCGGAAUUAUUGGGCGUAAAGAGCUCGUAGGCGGUUUGUCGCGUCUGCUGUGAAAUCCCGAGGCUCAACCUCGGGCCUGCAGUGGGUACGGGCAGACUAGAGUGCGGUAGGGGAGAUUGGAAUUCCUGGUGUAGCGGUGGAAUGCGCAGAUAUCAGGAGGAACACCGAUGGCGAAGGCAGAUCUCUGGGCCGUAACUGACGCUGAGGAGCGAAAGGGUGGGGAGCAAACAGGCUUAGAUACCCUGGUAGUCCACCCCGUAAACGUUGGGAACUAGUUGUGGGGACCAUUCCACGGUUUCCGUGACGCAGCUAACGCAUUAAGUUCCCCGCCUGGGGAGUACGGCCGCAAGGCUAAAACUCAAAGGAAUUGACGGGGACCCGCACAAGCGGCGGAGCAUGCGGAUUAAUUCGAUGCAACGCGAAGAACCUUACCAAGGCCUGACAUAUACGAGAACGGGCCAGAAAUGGUCAACUCUUUGGACACUCGUAAACAGGUGGUGCAUGGUUGUCGUCAGCUCGUGUCGUGAGAUGUUGGGUUAAGUCCCGCAACGAGCGCAACCCUCGUUCUAUGUUGCCAGCACGUAAUGGUGGGAACUCAUGGGAUACUGCCGGGGUCAACUCGGAGGAAGGUGGGGAUGACGUCAAAUCAUCAUGCCCCUUAUGUCUUGGGCUUCACGCAUGCUACAAUGGCCGGUACAAAGGGCUGCAAUACCGUGAGGUGGAGCGAAUCCCAAAAAGCCGGUCCCAGUUCGGAUUGAGGUCUGCAACUCGACCUCAUGAAGUCGGAGUCGCUAGUAAUCGCAGAUCAGCAACGCUGCGGUGAAUACGUUCCCGGGCCU